Molecule: ribosomal RNA, 255 nt
Filed under: uncultured bacterium
Lineage: Bacteria
Description: partial 16S ribosomal RNA
Rfam family: Bacterial small subunit ribosomal RNA
Source: RNAcentral
UACAGAGGUCCCGAGCGUUGUUCGGAUUCACUGGGCGUAAAGGGUGCGUAGGUGGUUGGGUAAGUUUGAUGUGAAAGCUCAGGGCUUAACCCUGAAAUGGCAUUGAAUACUACUCAACUGGAGGUUUGGAGGGGGGACUGGAAUUCUUGGUGUAGCAGUGAAAUGCGUAGAUAUCAAGAGGAACACCAGUGGCGAAGGCGAGUCCCUGGACAACACCUGACACUGAGGCACGAAAGCUAGGGGGAGCAAAACAGG